ACAUCUGCAACCGCACGAUCUGAGGUAAGAAGUUCUUAAAAGUUAAGACACCUCAAUUGGCGAGUCUAAGUAUUU
This 75-nucleotide small RNA is filed under the name Lactobacillus kalixensis. The record is from RNAcentral. Lineage: Bacteria; Bacillati; Bacillota; Bacilli; Lactobacillales; Lactobacillaceae.